AUAGGUUCUAUGUUUCUGGAAGAUGCACCAUGCUGCCUUCAUGUUGACGACAUGGCCGAUCGGCCCAGAUUACUGUUCCAUUUGAGAAGGGCGCUCCUCCCUCACCGCUUUUUCCCGUUCGAGUCAUGGGCCAUAGACCGAUGCUCCACGGCUCAGCAUAAUCAAAUCCAACGAUUCACAGCUGACAAGGCUUCUAUCCAGUCUCUGUGUUCAGUUAAUGUGUUAAUUGUAAGUAGGCCUAUCCUGAGUACAACUUGUUUGGUAAUUGUGCGGACAUGGAGACAGCCAGCAAAGCUCUCAAACUCACUUGACUCAACAUGCUGUCUCUCAGGCUCCCUCCAAAUGCCUUCUACAAGAAGAUGGAGGGGCUCUUUGCGGAUCACGGUUACCCUGAGAAGAAUUGAGAAGUUCAGACGUAAAUUGGGGAACAUGCUAAGAACCUACAAACAGGCCAAAGAACGUUGCCGGGAGACAGGUCAAAGAACUUUGCCGGGAGACAGGCCAAGGGAGAACCACUUGGCUGUGCUUUGAGGUUGAUGUCUCUCUGGUGCAUAGGGUUAUGAUUAACACAAUAUGACCUUCUGUAUUUCUUAUUCCCCUCAGGUAAUGAAUGACAUACAGUUUAUAAAUCAUUCACAAUUUAUUCUAACAUAAGUUGAAACAAAAAAACAUAUUUUGGUGUUCACACGUGUAUUUGUUUGAUUUACAAAGUCUGCACAGGACCAAGAAAAAAAUCUAAACUGAAAUUGAGACGGUUGGCUCUGUUCUUAUGCAUUUCACUGUUCUUGUGCAUGUGACAAUAACACCUGAACUCAGAGGAGAAGGUGGUUCGAGACCUCAAUGCUGGAGGCAGUGGCUGCCAUGCAGCACAUUCUUCAGCAGAUGCAUAUAAGUCAGAAAGAAAUGGUUACACUGUUGAAAAAGGAAAACAAAUGAUGCUUGACAUUCCUUCUUGUCUGUCUUUACUAUCCCAGGUGUUGUCCCAUUAUGUCAUUUGGAGUGUUUAUCUCCUUUAUGGUGGAACCAUUGAACACCUCUAACAAUAGACAUGCAGGUGGUAAACUUGUUUCUAAA
Molecule: long non-coding RNA, 1074 nt
Filed under: Salmo salar (Atlantic salmon)
Lineage: Eukaryota; Metazoa; Chordata; Actinopteri; Salmoniformes; Salmonidae
Description: lncRNA (ENSSSAG00000088123.1, ENSSSAG00020082597.1)
Source: RNAcentral